GUAAACUUUGAAAUUAUAUUUUGGGUUGUUUUUUUUUUCCUGCCAAAAUCUGCUCCGGGCCCAUCUGUCCUCCUCUUGAGCCGUCUGGGACUGGACAAACAGCAGCGCGUCAUUACCUGGUCUGAUUAGAGCUGGAUGGCUGCAGGCGGCCACCAUGGGGCUCUGCACCUGCCUCUUCUGCCAGACAAGCCAAGGGCCUGAAUUGACAACUGUUAGCAUCCCGGCAGGCGGAGCGGCUCAACUGUCGGCAGAGG
Long non-coding RNA from Acanthopagrus latus (yellowfin seabream), 254 nucleotides. RefSeq lists it as uncharacterized. The record is from RefSeq and is a predicted model, not a curated record. NCBI's taxonomy places the organism in Eukaryota, Metazoa, Chordata, Actinopteri, Spariformes, Sparidae. The transcript is spliced from 3 exons.